RNAcentral lists this unclassified non-coding RNA (253 nucleotides) under uncultured Caryophanales bacterium. RNAcentral describes it as "uncultured Bacillales bacterium contains 16S-23S intergenic spacer region". It matches the Rfam family "Bacterial small subunit ribosomal RNA", at positions 524 to 776 of the family's 1533-position model. The record is from RNAcentral. Lineage: Bacteria; Bacillati; Bacillota; Bacilli; Caryophanales.
UACGUAGGUGGCAAGCGUUAUCCGGAAUUAUUGGGCGUAAAGCGCGCGCAGGCGGUCACUUAAGUCUGACGUGAAAGCCCACGGCUCAACCGUGGAGGGUCAUUGGAAACUGGGAGACUUGAGUACAGAAGAGGAAAGUGGAAUUCCAUGUGUAGCGGUGAAAUGCGUAGAGAUGUGGAGGAACACCAGUGGCGAAGGCGACUUUCUGGUCUGUAGCUGACGCUGAGGUGCGAAAGCGUGGGUAGCAAACAGG